GACGAACGCUGGCGGCGUGCUUAACACAUGCGAGUCGAACGGAAAGGCCCUGCUUUUGUGGGGUGCUCGAGUGGCGAACGGGUGAGUAGCACGUGAGUAACCUGCCCUUGACUUUGGGAUAACUUCAGGAAACUGGGGCUAAUACCGGAUAGGAGCUCCUGCUGCAUGGUGGGGGUUGGAAAGUUUCGGCGGUUGGGGAUGGACUCGCGGCUUAUCAGCUUGUUGGUGGGGUAGUGGCUUACCAAGGCUUUGACGGGUAGCCGGCCUGAGAGGGUGACCGGCCACAUUGGGACUGAGAUACGGCCCAGACUCCUACGGGAGGCAGCAGUGGGGAAUAUUGCACAAUGGGCGGAAGCCUGAUGCAGCAACGCCGCGUGCGGGAUGACGGCCUUCGGGUUGUAAACCGCUUUCGCCUGUGACGAAGCGUGAGUGACGGUAAUGGGUAAAGAAGCACCGGCUAACUACGU
This 467-nucleotide ribosomal RNA is filed under the name uncultured bacterium. RNAcentral describes it as "partial 16S ribosomal RNA". It matches the Rfam family "Bacterial small subunit ribosomal RNA", at positions 28 to 506 of the family's 1533-position model. The record is from RNAcentral.